Molecule: ribosomal RNA, 408 nt
Filed under: uncultured bacterium
Lineage: Bacteria
Description: partial 16S ribosomal RNA
Rfam family: Bacterial small subunit ribosomal RNA
Source: RNAcentral
GACGAACGCUGGCGGCGUGCUUAACACAUGCAAGUCGAACGGCGUGGCGAACGGGUGUGUAACACGUGGGUGAUCUUCCUUGCACUUGGGGAUAAGCUUCGGAAACUGGGACGAAUUCCGGCAAGGGCAAUAUGAGCUCGGGGCCUAUCAGCUUGUUGGUGGGGUAAUGGCAUACCAAGGCGCCGACGGGUAGCCGGCCUGCGAGGGUGUACGGCGACCAUGGGACUACGAGACGGACCAGGCGCGAACGGGGGGCAGCAGUGGGGAAUAGUACACAAUGAGUGGAAGCCUGAUGCAGCGGCGCCGCGUGGGGAAUGAAGGUCUUCGGGUUGUAAACUCCUUUCGACAGGGACGCGGUACCUGUAUAAGAAGCACCGGCUAACUACGUGCCAGCAGCCGCGGUAAUAC